Molecule: ribosomal RNA, 757 nt
Filed under: Lichenothelia papilliformis
Lineage: Eukaryota; Fungi; Ascomycota; Dothideomycetes; Lichenotheliales; Lichenotheliaceae
Description: SSU rRNA
Rfam family: Eukaryotic small subunit ribosomal RNA
Source: RNAcentral
GAUUAAGCCAUGCAUGUCUAAGUAUAAGCAAUCUAUACGGUGAAACUGCGAAUGGCUCAUUAAAUCAGUUAUCGUUUAUUUGAUAGUACCUUACUACAUGGAUAACCGUGGUAAUUCUAGAGCUAAUACAUGCUAAAAACCCCGACUUCGGGAGGGGUGUAUUUAUUAGAUAAAAAACCAAUGCCCUUCGGGGCUCCUUGGUGAUUCAUAAUAACUCAACGAAUCGCAUGGCCUUGCGCCGGCGAUGGUUCAUUCAAAUUUCUGCCCUAUCAACUUUCGAUGGUAGGAUAGUGGCCUACCAUGGUAUCAACGGGUAACGGGGAAUUAGGGUUCGAUUCCGGAGAGGGAGCCUGAGAAACGGCUACCACAUCCAAGGAAGGCAGCAGGCGCGCAAAUUACCCAAUCCCGACACGGGGAGGUAGUGACAAUAAAUACUGAUACAGGGCUCUUUUGGGUCUUGUAAUUGGAAUGAGUACAAUUUAAAUCCCUUAACGAGGAACAAUUGGAGGGCAAGUCUGGUGCCAGCAGCCGCGGUAAUUCCAGCUCCAAUAGCGUAUAUUAAAGUUGUUGCAGUUAAAAAGCUCGUAGUUGAACCUUGGGCCUGGCUGGCCGGUCCGCCUCACCGCGUGUACUGGUCCGGCCGGGCCUUUCCUUCUGGGGAUCCGCAUGCCCUUCACUGGGUGUGCCGGGGAUCCAGGACUUUUACUUUGAAAAAAUUAGAGUGUUCAAAGCAGGCCUUUGCUCGAAUACAUUAGCA